CUUUGUGGUAUGUAACUUACAGUUUUUGACCAAAUAUUAUUUUAAAUUUGUAGUCUCCAGACAGUUUUAUAUCAAAUACCGGACCAUUUCAAUAUUUCCUGAGUGGUGAUCCUAACAAGCCCUUGGAAAAUUCCUGUUUUCCUGAAGAUGUUCAAGGACCACCUGGGAACGGCAACACUGGCACUCUGCAGGUGGUGGCAGUCGAAGGAAGAGGUGAAGUAAAGCACGGAGGAGAAGACGGCAGAAGUGACAGUGGUGCCCCACAGCAUGGGAAGCGAGGUGGAGAAAGCGAGGGGUUCUCUCAUGUCAGAAGAGCGAGAGGGCACAGGAUGCCACAUCUGAGUGAGGAGACGAAGGGCCAACAGGUGGGCAGUGGAGGUGAUGGUGAGCGCUGGGGCUCAGACAGGGGCUCCCGAGGCAGCCUCAGUGAGCAGAUUGCUCUUGUGCUCAUGCGACUGCAAGAGGACAUGCAGAACGUCCUGCAGAGGCUUCAUAAGCUGGAAACACUCACUGCUUCGCAGGUCAGCAGCCACCUUUGCCUCACCCUCUUUGACCAUUUGCGAACCCUGUAAGGUAGUAUGUAAUCUCUAUUGAUCAGAUUUACACAGGGCACAAAUUUCCACAAAGCUUUC
RNAcentral lists this long non-coding RNA (632 nucleotides) under Cavia porcellus (domestic guinea pig). Its description in RNAcentral is "lncRNA (ENSCPOG00000022284.2)". The record is from RNAcentral. Lineage: Eukaryota; Metazoa; Chordata; Mammalia; Rodentia; Caviidae.